GGCCGGCCAGUCUAGUGGUAUGAUUUUCGUAUUGUGUGCGUGAGGUCCCGGGUUCAAAUCCCGGGUCGGUCC
RNAcentral lists this transfer RNA (72 nucleotides) under Angiostrongylus costaricensis. It matches the Rfam family "tRNA". From Rfam's summary of the family: Transfer RNA (tRNA) molecules are approximately 80 nucleotides in length. Their secondary structure includes four short double-helical elements and three loops (D, anti-codon, and T loops). Further hydrogen bonds mediate the characteristic L-shaped molecular structure. tRNAs have two regions of fundamental functional importance: the anti-codon, which is responsible for specific mRNA codon recognition, and the 3' end, to which the tRNAs corresponding amino acid is attached (by aminoacyl-tRNA synthetases). tRNAs cope with the degeneracy of the genetic code in two manners: having more than one tRNA (with a specific anti-codon) for a particular amino acid; and 'wobble' base-pairing, i.e. permitting non-standard base-pairing at the 3rd anti-codon position. The record is from Rfam by way of RNAcentral. Lineage: Eukaryota; Metazoa; Nematoda; Chromadorea; Rhabditida; Metastrongylidae.